Molecule: transfer RNA, 82 nt
Rfam family: tRNA
About the family: Transfer RNA (tRNA) molecules are approximately 80 nucleotides in length. Their secondary structure includes four short double-helical elements and three loops (D, anti-codon, and T loops).
Source: Rfam
GUCUCCUUGGGACAGUGGUUACUCCGCGACCUUGCUAAGGUCGUGCGCUCUGCGCUCGCAGGUUCGAAUCCUGCAGGUGACG